This 120-nucleotide small RNA is filed under the name Escherichia coli. RNAcentral describes it as "RtT sRNA". It matches the Rfam family "RtT RNA". Rfam says of the family: This family represents a bacterial cis-regulatory element known as RtT RNA. The exact function of RtT is unknown although it is thought that it may be involved in changing the cellular response in relation to amino acid starvation. Lineage: Bacteria; Pseudomonadati; Pseudomonadota; Gammaproteobacteria; Enterobacterales; Enterobacteriaceae. The record is from RNAcentral.
AUCCUGAAUGAUUAAAGCAGCAUAAUCCCGCAAUUUGAGUUGAGCGCAGCGAAACAACGGAGCCGCUCGCGGCGACGGCCCGAAGGGCGAGCGAAGCGAGUCAUCCUGCACGACCCACCA